ACCAGACGAUGCGGGAUCGAAGAUGAUUAGAUACCAUCGUAGUCUCAACCAUAAACUAUGCCGACUUGGGAUUGGAAGGUGUGAAUUUUUAAUAACCCUUUCAGGACCACAUGAGAAAUCAAAGUCUUUGGGUUCCGGGGGGAGUAUGGUCGCAAGGCUGAAACUUAAAGGAAUUGACGGAAGGGCACACCAGAAGUGGAGCCUGCGGCUUAAUUUGACUCAACACGGGGAAACUUACCAGGUCCAGACAUAGUAAGGAUUGACAGAUUGAGAGCUCUUUCUUGAUUCUAUGGGUGGUGGUGCAUGGCCGUUCUUAGUUGGUGGAGUGAUUUGUCUGGUUGAUUCCGUUAACGAACGAGACCUCGGCUUGCUUUAUAGUGCUGCAAAUGGCAUUCAUUUGUAUUGGCACUUCAAAGAGGGACAUUUCGGUUUUACCGGAAGGAAGUUCGUG
RNAcentral lists this ribosomal RNA (451 nucleotides) under Labyrinthulomycetes sp. Its description in RNAcentral is "SSU rRNA". It matches the Rfam family "Eukaryotic small subunit ribosomal RNA", at positions 982 to 1449 of the family's 1831-position model. Lineage: Eukaryota; Bigyra. The record is from RNAcentral.